AGUCAUGAGCAACAACUGGAGGGCAAGUCUGGUGCCAGCAGCUGCGGUAAUUCCAGCUCCAAGGGCGUAUACUAACAUUGCUGCUGUUAAAACACUUGUAGUCUGCCUCUGGGAUGCAGGUCUGCUGGGUGGCCGGUGGGGGUGGCCCCUGUGUGGCCUGGGUGAAGCACCCUAACCGGUGUCUGAGCCUGGGUUUGUGCAGGGGUCCCCACUGGAAUCAAACCCCCAGCAGUAUGUCCCUGCUCCCAACUCUUUCACAGACACUAUGGAUGGUGUGAUUUGUCCCUGCUCCAAGCCUCCUUUGGUGGAGGUCAAAGUGGUGUUUGCACCCAAGGCUUGUGUGAAUCUCUGGCAGGAUGGAGCCAUUGCCCUUGUGAAAUGUGUGAUGGAAGAACUUCAGCCCACCUCUGGGACCCACCAUCAAGCAACCCUGGAAAACUCAGUGUGCCUCAAGCAGCCUGUUAUUUAUUCUCUCAACUCUAGACAUGGCUGGAUGCUCAUCCAUGGAAUUGCACAGCAUCGACCAGAUAUCUAUGGCAGCACAGUUGUGCCAGUCUUGGUGCCAAUCCGGAGAAUGUGGUACUGUGCCCUGCUGAGUCUGGGUGGUUCUGGCACAGCCCCUCUCCCCACCCUCUCCGGAGGUGCUGGGGUCUGCUGGGUUCCCUGCCUGCUGCUCUGGACCAGUCUGUGGUGCAGUCACCGAUCGGAAGUGAUGGGACUGCUCAGGGUGGAAGGUACUGCAACGCCAGAGGUGAAAUUCUUAGACCGCUGCAUGACCAACUGCAGCGAAGGCGUUCUGCAAGGGCAUGUUCGUCGAUCAAGAAUGAGAGCUUGGGGAGCGAAGAUGAUCAGACACCGUCGUAGUCCAAGGCUGUAAACCAUGUCAGCUCGGAAUUGGAUGGGCAAUUCUAUUGCAGCACCCAUUCAGCUCCAUGCCCCCUGCAACGAGAAAUCCAAGC
This 959-nucleotide ribosomal RNA is filed under the name Trachelomonas armata. RNAcentral's name for it is "SSU rRNA". It matches the Rfam family "Eukaryotic small subunit ribosomal RNA", at positions 533 to 1104 of the family's 1831-position model. Lineage: Eukaryota; Euglenozoa; Euglenophyceae; Euglenales; Euglenaceae. The record is from RNAcentral.